UACGGGGGGGGCAAGCGUUGUUCGGAAUUACUGGGCGUAAAGGGCUCGUAGGCGGCCAACUAAGUCAAACGUGAAAUCCCUCGGCUUAACCGGGGAACUGCGUCUGAUACUGGAUGGCUUGGAUUUGGGAGAGGGAUGCGGAAUUCCAGGUGUAGCGGUGAAGUGCGUAGAUAUCUGGAGGAACACCGGUGGCGAAGGCGGCAUCCUGGACCAAUAUUGACGCUGAGGAGCGAAAGCCAGGGGAGCAAACGGG
This 253-nucleotide ribosomal RNA is filed under the name uncultured bacterium. RNAcentral's name for it is "partial 16S ribosomal RNA". It matches the Rfam family "Bacterial small subunit ribosomal RNA", at positions 524 to 776 of the family's 1533-position model. The record is from RNAcentral.